RNAcentral lists this ribosomal RNA (304 nucleotides) under uncultured Sulfuricurvum sp. Its description in RNAcentral is "bacterial SSU rRNA". It matches the Rfam family "Bacterial small subunit ribosomal RNA", at positions 29 to 334 of the family's 1533-position model. The record is from RNAcentral. Lineage: Bacteria; Pseudomonadati; Campylobacterota; Epsilonproteobacteria; Campylobacterales; Sulfurimonadaceae.
AAUGAACGCUGGCGGCGUGCUUAACACAUGCAAGUCGAACGGUAACAGGGACUUCGGUCUGCUGACGAGUGGCGCACGGGUGAGUAAUGCAUAGGUAACGUGCCCCUUAGUCUGGGAUAGCCACUGGAAACGGUGAUUAAUACUGGAUACUCCUUCUUAUGUGAUGUAAGAAGGGAAAGGUCUUUCGCUAAGGGAUCGGCCUAUGUUGUAUCAGCUAGUUGGUGAGGUAAUGGCUCACCAAGGCGAUGACACAUAGCGGGUUUGAGAGGAUGAUCCGCCACACUGGUACUGAGACACGGACCAG